This 34690-nucleotide long non-coding RNA is filed under the name Hordeum vulgare. RNAcentral describes it as "long non-coding RNA (HVUL_LNC001696)". The record is from RNAcentral. Lineage: Eukaryota; Viridiplantae; Streptophyta; Magnoliopsida; Poales; Poaceae.
CAAGAUGUAUCCUGACUUGGAGGAGAAGAGCGGCGCCAUCAUGCAGGCCACCGCCGUCGUCCUUGGCGUCGGGCCUGCGAAAGUGCAGUUCGAGGAGGCCGCCGAGUCCGAUGAGGCUGGCCACGGCUGCAGCUGUGGCGCCAGUUGCAAGUGCAACCCUUGCAACUGCUAAGCUGCAAGCAGUCGAUGCGCUUGUGAUGAUUGUGCCGUGUGUGAUCGAGUGCGAAUAAUGAAACCGGCGCCGGACGUCUGGUUGGUGUUGUGGUGUGGUUUGUUCUUGGUGUCCUUGUGACUUGUGAAACUGUCACUACUGCUUUGUGUUUGUGUGCGCGAACCUAUCUGUGUGUAUCUUUGUAAUGGUCUAUCUAAAUGGACUUAAUAUACAAAACAGGUUCUCGCAAAGUGUGAAUUAUUAGUCACGUCUUACAUAUUUAUAUCUUAUUUUGUAAGAUAGAAAGAUGAAAGAUAAACAUAGUUCUUCCAUACACGGUUGCCAAUAUGUUUCUCUACAUGAACAUAAAGGAAAACAUUCAGCCAUAAAAACGGGCCACUUCCAUCUGCAAAGGUUGAAAUGGAAGGAGUCCUACCUAGCUUAUUGGCUAAGACUAGCAACUCUCAUAGUCCAUUUAUUUAUAGUGUUUUUUCCCUUUGGCGAGGGUUGCAUGGUAUGAUGGAUAGAUGCUUACUUGUUUGCGGAUUGGUUAGAACACGAAUACGGAAGCCGAUCACCCAACCGCAUCUCCUAAAUGCAUGCCUAGGUCUCGUCAUACUUCAUUUUAAAUGCAUAGCAAUUUAAUCAAAUUAAAGUGUGGUGUUUAUAGCACCCGAUCAAAACCCAAAAAUAUGUAUGUUGAUAGGUUUUAAAUGCGCUCGAUCACAAAAGAACUAGUCUGAUAGUCCGUGCAAAAAAAGAAAUUUUCCCUCUCAGACUGAUUGUCAAAGCCUCCUUGCUCACUUUGUCGCGGCCUCCUCCUCACCAGAGGCCUCCUUCUUGGCCGCCUCCAUCUCAGCUGCUAAGCGCUUCUACAACCUAAAAUGGACGAGGCGCACGACAUCGCUGCUCGACAUCCAACUCGUCCUUCCUCAUGGCCAACAUCUUAGUAUCAUCCAAAAUGGUCGCGAGCUCAACCAUCUUCUCUUCGAGCUUGGUGCUCUUCUCUUUGAGGUUGAUCUCCUUCUCGGUCGCCGCCAUCCAGAUGUUGAACAUCUCCGCCUUCUUUUCCUCCUUCAUGCCAUAGCGCUUGACACAUUUAUCCUCCUUCUUCGCCAAGAUGUCCUCAAAUAUCUCUGUCAUCUUUGUCGCCACCCCUUUCGGUUCAACUUUUCCUCCUCCCACUUCUUUCUCCGGAAUGUUGUCUAACCUUUUUGGGUGGCACUUUUGUUGGGUCGGUUGGUUUACCAGCUUUUUCCUCACUAGCGAUGCCAACGGUAUUGAUGAAAUUGGCAACGCUAUUUUGCCACUUGGAUUGUGUAUUCAUUUUCAACCAACAAUGCAUGAGGACUAUGUUCUUCUUCUUUAUCUUCAAAUACAAGUUGCACCCACAGGAAGACUAUCAAACACUAGAUAUUGACAACAAGGUGCGUAUCUAGCCAAAUGACAACCACCUAGAGCAUAUCUGACCAAUAAGUUCCAUAUCCGGUCAAAUGACAUAGAGAAUAUUUGGCCAAAUGGCCAACACAUAGAACAACUUACUUGGUCGGUGAUUUGUGCACCACUUGGCCAUUAACCAAUGAGUUGUUUCAAAUUGACGCAAUACUUCCUCACGUCCUCUUAGAUGGUGUACCAUUGAUGGUUGAGUGACUUUGUCCCAUGAUAACCAAUGAGUUCGUUGCAGUAGGGCUCAAAAUUCAUGUGCUUAUGAAACCAAAAAUGAAUUUUGGACAAAAUAAUUGUGCCCACUUGCUCCGUGCCAUGGAUCAGAUCGAUGCUAACCACACAUCACACAACAAAUCAUUCUCCCUCGUGUUGAAACUUUACCGUUUACCCCUCUUCUUUGGAGGAUCAUCCUCAUCAACUCCUUGUCUGCAUCAUCGUAUGAUGUCUAGCCUGGUUGAGACAUAUCGGUUUUAUGCUUGCUUGGUUGUUCGGUCUCUUUACCAGUGUUGUUCUUAAAGCUUGCAUGCUUAGGUCAUAAUCUUAAUUCUAAUAAUUGUGUUGAUGUUUGUAUGCUUUCUUACAGGGGUUUAUUGUCAAUUUUGGCCUUGCCACACAUUGAGCAUGCUUGUUUAUUAGUGUUGCGAUGAAAAAUAGCAUCUUAACUUUGGAGGUUACUCCAAACUAAAGCACACUGCCAUGACUACGAUGUGAGAAUGUUGUCCAACUAACUAGGAUUCAACUUGGGCCAUUGAUAACUCACAAGUAUAGGGGAUCGCAACAGUUUUCGAGGGUAGAGUAUUAAACCCAAAUUUUUUGAUUCGACACAAGGGGAAGCCAAAAAAUAUUCUCGAGUAUUAGCAGUUGAGUUGUCAAUUCAACCACACCUGAAAGACUUAGUAUCUGCAGCAAAGUUUCAGUAUCAAAGUAGUGUGAUAGCAAUAGCGGUAACAGUAGCAGCAGUGACAGCAGUAGCGGUAAAGUAACGUAGCAAGGACCAGUAGGAAAAACUCGUAGGCAUUGGAUCGGUGAUGGAUAAUUAUGCGGGAUGACAUUCAUCAUGUAGCAGUUAUAACAUGGGGAGAUAUGUAACUAGCUCCAGUUCGUCAAUGUAAUGUAGGCAUGUAUUCCGUAUAUAGUCAUACGUGCUUAUGGAAAAGAACUUGCAUGACAUCUAUUGUCCAUCCCUCCCGUGGCAGCGGGGUCCUAAUGGAAACUUAGGGAUAUUAAGGUCUCCUUUCAAUAGAGAACCGGAACAAGGCAUUAGCACUUAGUGAAUACAUGAACUCCUCAUACUAUGGUCAUCUCCGGGAGUGGUUCCCGCUACUGUCACUCCGUGGUUGCUGGGUCAUAACACAUAGUAGGUGACUACAACUUGCAAGAUAGGAUCAAGAACACACAUAUAUUGAUGAAAACAUAAUAGGUUCAAAUCUGAAAUCAUGGCACUCAGGCCCUAGUGACAAGCAUUAAGCAUAGCAAAGUAAGAGUAACAUCAAUCUCAGAACAUAGUGGAUACUAGGGAUCAAACCCCAUCAAAACUAACCUGAUUACAUGAUAGAUCUCAUCCAACCCAUCACCGUCCAGCAAGCCUACGAUGAGAUUACUCACGAACGCUGAAGAGCAUCAUGGAAUUGGCGAUGAAGGAUGGUUGGUGAUGACGACGGCGUCGAUUCCCCCUCUCUGGAGCCUAGAACGGACUCCAGAUCUGCCCUCCAGAGGAAGAACAGGUGGUGGCGGCGGCUCCGUAUCGUAAAACGCAAUGAACUCUUCUCUCAAUUUUUUUUGGGCGAGAGAGACUAAAUAGAGCUGAAGUUGGAGAUGGCGGAGCCACGAGGCCUCACAAGCCUGCCAGGCGCGGCCAGGGGGCCGCACCUCCUGGGCUUGUGGGCUCCUCACUCCGUCCCUCCAGGUAAUUUUUGCGCCAAUAUUUUUUAUAUAUUCCACAAAAAAUCCUCGUAAAUUUCCAGGUCAUUCCGAGAACUUUUAUUUCUGAGCAAAAACAACACCAUGGCAAUUCUGCUGAAAACAACGUUAGUCCGGGUUAGUUCCAUUCAAAUCAUGCAAAUUAGAGUCCAAAACAAGGGCAAAAGAGUUUGGAAAAGUAGAUACGAUGGAGACGUAUCAACUCCCCCAAGCUUAAAGCCUUGCUUGUCCUCAAGCAAUUCAGUUGACAAACUGAAAGAGACGAAAGAAAAACUUUUUCGAACUCUGUUUGAUCUUGUUGUAAUUAUGUCUAACUCAUAUUCAGAUUUUCAGCAAGAUCAUAAGCUAACCACAUAAGCAAUGACAUUUAGGUCUCAUGGUAAACUCAUAUCAAUGGCAAAAUCAACUAGCGAGCAAUAAUAAUAAGUUUCAAACGUCAACACUUCAAUCAAAACAAUCAUGAAGCAAUAUGAACAGAUGGUAUCUCGCUAGCUCUUUCUGAGACCGCAAAACAUAAAUGCAGAGCACCUUCAAAGACCAAGGGCUGGCUGAACAUUGUAAUUCAUGGCAAAGAAGAUCCAGUCACAGUCAUACUCAAUAACAAUUAAUAGCAAAGCAUAAAAAUGAAGGAAGUGCUCUCUAAUUGGUGCCUUUAUAAGAAGAGGAUGACUCAACAGAAACAUAAAUAGAUAGGCCCUUCGCAGAGGGAAGCAUUUGAUUUGCAGAGGUGCCAGAGCUCAAGAUUUGAAGACAGAUAUAAAUAAUUCUUGGUGGCAUGCUUUCAUUGUCAACGCGAUGACCAAGAGUUUUCACCAUCUUCCAUGCUACACAAAUUAUAGGUGGUUCCCAAACAAAAAAGUAAAGUUUUGACUCCCCCACCACCGAUCAAUCACACUCCACGAGUAGCCGAAUCCUCGGGUACCGUCCAUACCAACAACAAUCCACGGGGAGUUUUGUUUGCAAUUAUCUUUUUGAUUUGAGCAUGGAACUGGGCAUUCCAGUUACCGUCCCCUUUCUCGUGAGUGAUAGUGAAUAAACAUGUAUCGAGGAUAAAACGCCUAGCAUGGAAUAUACUGACCGCCCUUGUCACCACAUGAGCGGUUCGGGCAUGCAAAACAGAUUAUUACUUGGAGGUUUAGAGAGUGGCACAUGAAAAUUUACUUGGAACGGCAGGUAGAUACCGCAUAUAGGUAGGUAUGGUGGACUCAUAUGGAACAACUUGGGUUUAUGGAAGUGGAUGCACAAGCGGUAUUCCCACUUAGUACAAGUGAAGGCUAGCAAAAGACUGGGAGGCGACCAACUAGAGAGCGACAACAGUCAUCAAUAUGCAUUGAAAUUAACCAACAUUGAAUGCAAGCAUGAGUAGGAUAUAAAUCACCAUAAACAUGAAUAUCAUAGAGGCUAUGUUAAUUUUAUUUCAAUUACAUGCGUAAACAUGCGCCAAGUCAAGCCACUUGAAUCAUUCAAAGGAGGAUACCAUCCUAUCAUACUACAUCAUAAUCAUCUUGAAAUUCAUGUUGGCAUCCAAGACAAACCAUUAUAAGCUCCUAGCUAAUUAAGCAUGGCAUCAGAAACUAUGAUCUCUAAGUUGUCAUUGAAAACAAGUUUCUCUCAUAACAAAGCUGAAUUGGAACGAUGAGCUAGUCAUAUUUACAAAAACAAAAUAGAUCGAGUUCAUACCAUCUUUUCCAGGCUCAGUCAAUUCAUCAUAUAUCGUCAUUAUUGCCUUUCACUUGCAUGACCGAAUGAUGUGAAUAAUAAUGAGAGUGUUCGUGCAUUGGACUAAGCUAGAAUCUGCAAGCAAACACAUAGGAGAAGACAAAGCAAAAUGGAUCUUUGAUGGAUAAACAAUAAUGCAUACGAAAGCCACUAAACAUUGUAACCAUGGUCUUCUACCUUGACCCAAAGAAAAAGAAAACUAUUUACACGGAAAGCUCCCAACAAGCAAAAGAAGAAUGAGCAAUCUUUUUGGGUUUUCUCAAUCUAAACAAACACACGAGAAGAAAGCGAGAAAAAGAAAUAAACUAGCAUGGAUGCUAUAGUGGAAAGGUGUGAACACCUACUAUCAAAGUGAAAGUGUGCGCAUGAAUAUAAAGUCGGUGAGGAACACGUACUCCCCCAAGCUUAGGCUUUUGGCCUAAGUUGGUCUACUCCCAUGGCUGGUCCGGGCGAUAUCCAAAAUCAUAAUGGGGGUUGUACGGAAACACGGCAACUACCACCUGAAUAGCUGCCUCACGGAGGCGAGUAGCCUUCGCCUCCCUCUCAUACUCCUCUGCCUCUCCUCUGGUUAUAUAAUAUCUCUGUUUUACCUGAAAGUCAAAGAAGGCAGGAGAAGGAAGGGUAAUAUGGAAAACACGUUGUCGGUUAAAUAUUAACCGAUAUAGGAGGGAUUCAUUAUCCCUCUCAAGGAACUGAUAACGUGUCAUAGCGGCGCGAUCAAGGAAAGCUGUAUGGACGGGGGAUCUUCUUCGCGGAUGAGUACUCCAAGAAAAUUUGCUAUGCGAGUGGCAUAGAUUCCACCAAAGAAAUCCCCUUCAUUAGCAUUAUUAUUUAGCCUCCUCGCGAUUAUAGCUCCCAUGUUGAAACUUUUAUCACCCGUUACUGCGCUCUUAAGAAUAGCAAGGUCAGGUGCGUAGAGAUGACAAUGCUAAGUCUUGCUGUUAAUGCAUCUACCUAUGAAGAGGGCAAAAUAAUGCAAGGCAGGAAAAUGAAUGCUCCCCAUGGUAGCCUGCGUAAUAUCUCUAGUUUCUCCAACAGUUAUACUAGAGAAAAAAUCUCUAACCGAAGACUUAGGAGGAUCAUUAAGACUACCCCAAUCAGGUAUCUUGCAAAUUCUGUUGAAAUCCUCUAAAUCCAUGGUAUACGAUUUGUCAUAGAGAUCAAACAGUAUGGAAGUGUCAAGGCCAACUGAAAAUUUAAAUCUACGAACAAAAGAGGCAGUGAGAGUAGUAUACUGUUCACAUUUAUUGGAGAUGAAUUCUUCGAGCCCGGCGUUGUGAAGAAAUGUAUCAAACUCGUCUUUGAAACCUGCAUCAAUCAUGAAUUCAUGAGGAGGCCAUUCACAUGGUUGUACCUGUGCGUUCCUCGGUUGGUAAGGAUCGGGUUCCCGAAUCGCGAGACGGGGACCCCGCUUGCUUGAAGAACCACCAUGAUAGUUUUUCCUGGACAUCUUCUUUUUCUGAAUUUUUUAGUGACUCAAAAGAAAAGUGAACAAGGCUCAACAAAACUCAUAGCAACCACUCCUACAAGUGCCUAGAGGCCAUAUCAUGCAUCAAAACUACUUGGGACAAUUAACAUGCAAAUCUCAAGAACAGGGUCACCAAGGCAGCAAUAGUACACAACAAAUAAAGCACUAGAGCAAAAACUAAUUGGACCAAUGGAGGAGUCACAUACCAAGGAACAAUCCCCCCAAAACAGUUUGGUGAAUGGGGCUUUGCACAAGGAGAUCGAAAAACGCAGCAAGAAGAGCAAGAACACGGGUUUGAGUUGUGGAAUGAUUUUUUCUGGAGGUAGGAGAAGGAGAUGGAAGCUGGAAUAAGUGGAGGGGGCCACGUGGGGCCCACAAGCCUGCCAGGCGCGGCCAGGGGGGUGCCCGCGCCUCCAGGGCUUGUGGCCCACUGGUGCAUCCCCUUGCCUAGCUCUUUAUCUCAUAAUUUUUCAAAAAUUCCAGAAAAAAACAUACUUGAUUUUCAGGGCAUUUGAAGAACUUUUAUUUUCGGGACACUUUUCUAAGGGACGCAAAAAGCAGAAAACAGGAAAAUAAAGCUAAAUUUAUCAUUUUUCUUCUAAACAACAUAGCGUAAAAGUUCGUACAAAAGGUUGUGACUCUUAGAUUCAUCCAUCUCAUGGUCAUCAAAAGAAAUCCAUCAAUGGGGUUGAUCAAGUCUCCUUGACAAACUUUUUCCGAAUUACAUGAAACCGGAGAAUUUUCGAAUAAUCACUAAGUUACCUCAAUGGGGAUGUGCAUAUCCCCAACAAGCAAAUCAUACUUCAUCUUGACAGUAGGUAUAGGGCAUUCAAAGCUCCCAAUAAGGAUUGAUGAAGUUUUUUCAAUAGCAUUGAUACAAUGAACUCGAUAUUGUUUCGUCGGAAAGUGCACCGUAUGCUCAUUACCAUUAACAUGGAAAGUGACAGUACCUUUGUUGCAAUCAAUAACAGCCCCUACGGUGUAUAAAAAGGGUCUUCCAAGGAUGACUUCCAUGGCAUCAUCCUCGGGAAUAUCCAGAAUAACAAAGUCUGUUAAGAUAGUAACGUUAGCAACCACAACAGGCACAUCCUCGCAAAUGCUGAUAGGAAAAGUAGUUGAUUUGUCGGCCAUUUGCAAAGACAUUUCAGUGGGUGUCAACUUAUCCAAUUCAAGUCUACGAUAAAGAGAGAGAGGCAUAACACUAACACCGACUCCAAGAUCGCAUAAAGUAGUUCUAACGUAGUUUCCUUUAAUGGAGAAAGGUAUAGUGGGCACUCCGGGAUCACCUAGUUUCUUAGGAGUUCCACCCUUGAAGGUGUAAUUAGAGAGCAUGGUGGAAAUCUCAACCUCAGGUAUCCUCCUUUUAUUGGUCACAAUAUCUUUCAUGUACUUAGCAUAAGGAGACAUUUUGAGCAUAUCUGUCAAACGCAUUUGCAGAAAGACAGGUCUAAUCAUUUCAACAAAGCGCUCAAAAUCCUCAUCAUCUUUUUUCUUGGAUGGUUUGGGAGGAAAGGGCAUGUGUUUGUGAACCCAUGGUUCUCUUUCCUUACCAUGCUUCCUAGCAAUGAAGUCGUUCUUAUCAUAUCUCCUAUUCUUAGGUUGUGGGUUAUCAAGAUCAAUAGGUUCAAUCUCCACAUCCUUAUCAUUGCUAGGUUGAGCAUCAACAUGAACACCACUAUCGAUAUUAUCACUAGGCUCAUGUGCAUCACCAGAUUGUGUUUUGGCAUCAGAAACAGAGACAUCGUUUAGAUUCUCAGGUGUAAUAGCAACAGGGUUGCUAACAUGCAAGUUCCUAUCAUCUUUCUUUUUCUUCCUAAUACCAGGAUGACUAGGUGUAUCAGUGUUAACUCUUUAAGAAUCUUGUUCAAUUCUCUUAGGAUGACCCUUAGUAUACAAAGGUUCCUGGGUCAUUCUACCGCCUCUCGUGACAACUCUAACAGACUUGUCAUUCAACUCGUUGAGCAAGUCAUUUUGAGCCUUAAGUACUUGUUCUACUUGAGUAGUGACCAUAGAGGCAUGUUUACUCAAAAGCUUAAGAUCAUUGAUAGUUCUAUCCACACAAGCACUUAUAUGAUCAAUCAUACGAGCAUUUUGCCUCAAUUGUCUGCUAACAUAAUCAUUGAAACUUUGUUGUUUGGCAACAAAGUUAUCAAAUUCAUCUAAGCAUAAGCUAGCAGGUUUAUCAUAAGGAAUAUCACUCUCAUUGAUUCUACGAAGAGAAUUUACGUCUACUACCUGUGUCGGGUUAUCAAGACCAUGUAUUUCUUCGAUAGGUGGUAGAUUCUUGACAUCUUCAGAUUUAAUGCCUUUCUCUUGCAUAGAUUUCUUAGCUUCUUGCAUAUCUUUAGGACUAAGGAAUAGGAUACCUCUUUUCUUCGGAGUUGGCUUCGGAGGUGGUUCGGGAAUAGUCCAAGCAUUAUCAUUACUCAAGAUAUUAUUCAAUAGAAUCUCAGCUUGUUCCACAGUUCGUUCCCUAAAAACACAACCAGCACAACUAUCUAGGUGGUCCCUAGAAGCAUUGGUUAGUCCAUUAUAAAAGAUAUCAAGUAUUUCAUUUUUCUCAAGAGAGUGAUCAAGCAAAGCAUUCAGUAACUGGACAAGCCUCCCCCAAGCUUGUGGGAGACUCUCUUCUUCAACUUGCACAAAGUUAUAUAUAUCCUGCAAGGCAGCUUGUUUCUUAUGGGCAGGAAAAUAUUUCUCAGAGAAGUAGUAGAUCAUAUCCUGGGGACUACGCACGCAACCAGGAGCAAGAGAAGUGAACCAAGUCUUAGCAUCACCCUUUAGCGAGAAAGGAAACAACUUAAGGAUAUAGUAAUGGCGAAUCUUUUCCUCACUUGUGAAUAGGGUGGCUAUAUCGUGCAGCUUAGUAAGAUGUGCUACAACCGUUUCAGACUCAUGACCAUGAAAAGGAUCAGAUUCGACCAUAGUGAUUAACUCAGGAUCGACAGAGAAUUCAUAAUCCUUAUCAGUCACAAAGAUGGAUGAAGUAGCAAACUUAGGAUCGUAAUUCAUUCUAGCGUUCAGGGAUUUUUAUUUCCACUUGCGCAAUAAAUUCUCAAGAUCAUAGCUAUCCUUAGACGCAAUAAAGUCCUCAGCUACCUCUCCCUCCAUAACAUAACCCUCAGGUAUAUCAGACAAUUCAUAUCUAGGAGAGCUAGUUCUAACACGUGAAACAGCAGGUUCUACUUCAAUAAUUUCAGCAGUUUCAGAAGUAUCAUCACAUUCAGCAGCAACUCUAGCAAUUUGUGCAUCAAGGAAUGCACCAAGUGGCAAAGCAGUAUCAAGCAAAGCAUCAUCAUAAGCAUCAUGGAUAGCAGAAGUAGCAUCAUCAAGCACAGGCGACACAUCAUAAUUUCUAGUAGGUGAUGGUGUCGCAAACUUACUCAUAACUGAAGGUGAAUCAAGUGCAGAGCUAGAUGGCAGUUCCUUACCUGUCCUCGUAGUUGAGGGCAAGACUUUAGUUUUUGGAUCUCUCAGAUUCCUCAUAGUGAUCAACAGACGUAAAUCCCAAGUGACUCAAAGAAUAGAGCUAGGCCUCCCGGCAACGGCGCCACAAAAUAGUCUUGAUAACCCACAAGUAUAGGGGACCGCAAUAGUUUUCGAGGGUAGAGUAUUCAACCCAAAUUUUUUGAUUCGACACAAAGGGGAGCCAAAGAAUAUUCUCGAGUAUUAGCAGUUGAGUUGUAAAUUCAACCACACCUGAAAGACUUAGUAUCUGCAGCAAAGUUUCAGUACAAAAGUAGUGUGAUAGCAAUAGCGGUAACAGUAGCAGCAGUGACAGCAGUAGCGGUAAAGUAACGUAGCAAGGACCAGUAGGAAAUACUCGUAGGCAUUGGAUCGGUGAUGGAUAAUUAUGCCGGAUGACAUUCAUCAUGUAUCAGUUCUAACAUGGGGAGAUAUGUAACUAGCUCUAGUUCAUCAAUGUAAUGUAGGCAUGUAUUCCGUAUAUAGUCAUACAUGCUUUUGGAAAAGAACUUGCAUGACAUCUAUUGUCCAUCCCUCCCGUGGCAGCGGGGUCCUAAUGGAAACUUAGGGAUAUUAAGGUCUCCUUUUAAUUAAUAGAGAACCGGAACAAAGCAUUAGCACUUAGUGAAUACAUGAACUCCUCAUACUAUGGUCAUCUCCGGGAGUGGUCCCGGCUAUUGUCACUCCGGGGUUGCCGGGUCAUAACACAUAGUAGGUGACUACAACUUGCAAGAUAGGAUCAAGAACACACAUAUAUUGAUGAAAACAUAAUAGGUUCAGAUCUGAAAUCAUGGCAAUCGGGCCCUAGUGACAAGCAUUAAGCAUAGCAAAGUAGUAACAACAUCAAUCUCAGAACAUAGUGGAUACUAGGGAUCAAACCCUAUCAAAACUAACUCGAUUACAUGAUAGAUCUUAUCCAACCCAUCACCGUCCAGCAAGCCUACGAUGAGAUUACUCACGACCGGUGAAGAGCAUCAUGGAAUUGGCGAUGAAAGAUGGUUGGUGAUGACGAUGGCGUCGAUUCCCCCUCUCCGGAGCCCAGAACGGACUCCAGAUCUGCCCUCCAGAGGAAGAACAGGUGGUGGCGGCGGCUCCUUAUCGUAAAACAUGAUGAACUCUUCUCUCUUAAUUUUUUCUAGGCGAGAGAGACUAAAUAGAGCUGGAGUUGGAGGCGGCGAAGCCACGAGGUCCUCACAAGCCUGCGAGGCGCGGCUAGGGGGGCGCGCCUCCUGGGCUUUUGGGCUCCUCGCUCCGUCCCUCCAGGUAAUUCUUGCGCCAGUAUUUUUUAUAUAUUCCACAAAAAAUCCUCGUAAAUUUCCAGGUCAUUCCGAGAACUUUUAUUUCUAUGCAAGACAACACCAUGGGAAUUCUGCUGAAAACAGCGUUAGUCCGGGUUAGUCCCAUUCGAAUCAUGCAAAUUAGAGUCCAAAACAAGGGCAAAAGAGUUUGGAAAAGUAGAUACGAUGGAGACGCAUGAGUCAUAAAUAAUGUAAAUUUUGUCCAUCCUUAAGUGAUUGGAAUGUUCAUGACUAUGGUAGAGAUAUGAAUGAAGUUAGUGUGUGCUCAAACUUGAAUUUUGAUGAUACUAAUGACUUUUAGAUAAUGCAAUGCUUAUGCUAUUUUUGUUGGUUAAUGCCAUUUUACAAUAUCUAGCACUACCCUUUUGAAUCACAUUUUGUAUUUAAAUGACCAAGUAUGUGGUUCAUGGCGAUUGUACCAUGAACAAGUCACUAGGUUUGAAAGUAUGGAGAAGUCUGGUCAUGGGAGACAGAGAGAUACAACAAGUUGUGUAUUAAGUAGGCUUAAGGAGUCUGCUAUUAUCAUGAAAUUUGGAAUAUUUAUUAUGGUACCUUUUUUCUAAAUAUGAUAUAGGAGUCUGCUAUUAUCACAUACAACGAGUAAAAGAGGGGGCGUCAUGCUUGAAUGAUUAUCGGAUUGGGUAACUCCAUAACGUGUGUUCCAAGGUGAGUUGAGCGGGCCUUAUGCAUGCAACCAAACAACUGGGAUGUGCUCAUUUGGGCUUGUCCCGAGUGGGUUGUGUGGCAACUCCAUGCAUAUAGCAUCAGUGCAUCACAUACAAUGAGUACACGAUGGGGCACCAUGCUUGAAUGAUUUUUUUAUAAAGGGCAUUUUAUUAUUUUAAAGUUUUAAGCAGUACAUCCGGCCUCUGCAUAUGUAAAAUGCACACAGCCGCAACAAGUCCAAACACAAAAAAAAGACGUAAUACGAAUAAUCUUGAAGAAACUGUAUGACGCCUAAGUAGAAGGCUGCCAUCCAUGCUGGAUAAAAAUAUCCUUCGCCGGUCCUCCAAGCGUAUAUAGACCGCCGUAAACAGUUCGCUAAACUCCACACGAUGCUUGAAUGAUUAUAGGAGUGGGUAACUUCAUCACCCAUGUUGCAAGGUGGGCACAUCGGGCCUGAUGCAUGCAACCAAACAACUAGGUUUGGAUUCAUUUGUGCUUGUCCUCAGUGGAUUGUGUGGCAACUCCUUGCAAUCGUAAUGUGAACCUCGGCAUGUGUGUUGGUUGUAUCAUUUGUUAAUGCCCUUACUCUCAUAAUUCAAUGGUUGGGAGACAUUAGAUAAGGAUCUAUUAGAUUCGUGUGAUUCCAAAGAUAGAUGCGGCGCUCCUUUGUCAUGUCCUCUUGAAUUCCACAUGUUUGAACUUCCAACAAGAUUUCUCUAAUUUCAUCGUGGAAGAAAAGACUAUUUCCAAUUGGUUAAGUAAAUGGAAUUUUAAUUUGAAAUACAGUGUAAAGGAACAUGGAGUAUAAUUCUAGAAACCAAACAGUGUACUUAAAAAUAUGACUAAGAAUUACAGUCCUCUAAAGUUUCUAUAAAUCCAUUUGAAUUAUUAAGAUUCUCACAACACAUAGUGCAAGUCCUAACAAACCACGAUCCAAAGACAUAAUCAGAUACCAAGUACACAAGUACUGGUCAAUACAAUUCCUAAACAUGGAGCAAUGUACUCCCUCCGUUUCUAAAUAUAAGUCUUUAUAAAGAUUUUAUUAUGAACUACAUAUGAAGCAAAAUGAUUGAUUUUAUACAUUAAAAUAUGUCUAUAUACAUCCGUAUAUAGUUCAUAGUGAAAUUUUUGUAAAGACUUAUAUUUAGGAACGGGUAAAGUAUUUCUUAUGGAUGGCUCUACCAGAAAAAGAACAUGCGAAUAAACAAGGAGCUAGGUAUCUCAAAUGCAUGGUCCUGGUCACUACAAUUUCUUAACAUUGAUGGAUGGGAAAACUCUUAUUAGUUAAGAAGGAAACAUGGAGAGGUAGCAAAUGUAAAUAGGAUACACGCAUGCAGUUCGAUUUGUUCAACCGAGAUGCUUACUGAAAUAAUGACAAGGAGCAAGAAUAAGGCGGGAUUCUGCGCAGAAUGUUUUUUAUCUGGACGUUACUUUGAGAUAAAAUAAGUUAUUAUUUUCCCUAUUUGUGUAAAGGGAUACACAAUAAACAUAAUUUAUUUUCUAAGAACUUGUUCCAUUGAGAAUAAAUUGUGAUGAUAAUAAGGUGUGAGAGUUAUGUCAAGAAAGUGAUGGUAAGGAUAGAAAACAAAGAAGGCACAUUUCUGGCCGGCAUGCUAGCUGUUGUCGAAGUCAGCCAAUAUAAAAUGAAUCAAAGUGUUAUGCCGUUAUUAGGUCUUACUUGUAUUAAUUGAACAGCUAAUGUACAUAGUUUCUCUCAACACGCAUAUAAAUACGUGUUAUUUUUUAAUAAGGAGUGUUAAGACCACAGAUACCACCCAUCGUUGCUUUAGAAGAAAGCAACAAUUUGUUCGUAAACGCCUAAAAUGUACAGAAAUUAAUACAGAAAUCAUAAGGACACAUGUAAGGAAUGCUCACUAUCACUGUCGAUUUAUGUAGCAUAUUUUGUUCUGUGAAAACAGAAGUUCAUUCGGUAGCUUGAAUACUUGCAAGGAUAAAAUUAUCAAAUUGCAAAGUUUUAUUUAGUCAUAGAAAAUUGUAUUAGAUGGACGGAAGUUGACUCAUUCUAGGAAGCCUGUGUAUAGCAUCCUGACACAAAUGUCCUGUAAAACACACUAGUUCGCCUAUAAAUAGUGGUACACAAGUCGAGCAUAUGCAUCGUCCAGUGCUCACCAUCCCAAUUAAAGUCUUUCAUCUUCAACAGCAGAGGUUACAGCAGAAUUAAGGAUGUCUUGCAGUUGUGGAUCAAGCUGCGGCUGCGGCUCAAACUGCAACUGCGGGUAUACGCAUACUUCUUCCUCUUUCAAACUAGAGUAUUUUCUUGCUCAGAUUUUGUUUUGAUUUUUUUGUUGCAGCAAGAUGUACCCUGACUUGGAGGAGAAGAGCGGCGCCACCAUGCAGGUCACCGUCAUCGUCCUCGGCGUCGGGUCCGCGAAGGUGCAGUUCGAGGAGGCCGCCGAGUCUGGUGAGGCCGCCCAUGGCUGCAGCUGCGGUGCCAACUGCAAGUGCAACCCUUGCAACUGCUAAGCUGCAAACGGUGUAUGCGAUUGUGGUGAUUGUGUCGUGUGUUAACGAGUGUGAAUAAUGAAACCAGCACCAGCCGGUUGGUCUGUGUUGUGGUGUGGUUUGCUCUUGGUGUGCUUGUGACUUGUGAAAAUAUCACUAUUGUUAUGUGUUUGCGCGUACGAGCCUAUGUGUGUGUGUCUUUGUAAUGGCCCAUCUAAACUGAAGUGAAUAUACAAAAACAGGUUCGCUCAAAGUAUGAAUUAUCUUUUUAGAAAAGGAGGUUGACCCCCGGCCUCUGCAUCUGGACGAUGCAUGCAGCCAUAAGUACGAAUUAUUAGCAAGGUCUUACAUAUUUGUCUCUUAUUCUGUAACAAGGAAAGAUGGUAGAUAAUAAUUCCUUCACACGCUGGUGCCAAUAUAUUUCUCUACGUGAACAUAAAGGAAACCCGAAAAUAGGACUCCUAGCUUAUUGGCUAGACUAUCUCAUGUCCAUAUGCAAGGGAUUGAAAUAGGACUCCUAGCUUACUAGCUAGACUACCAACUCUCAUAGUCCAUUUAUCUAUAGUGGUCGUCCCUCGGAUCAAGGCCGCACGGUGCUUAAAGCAUCCCUCGGUCAUUCCUACUAGGAACAUCUAGUUUGUAUGCAUGCUCUGAUGCUCACGUGAGGGAUUUGUGUGUCGAUGAUGUUUGAUGCGUGUAUGCUUGCUUUAGUGGCUCGGUUGGUAUGGAGCGAUAUUUGUGAGGGUUUUAUGGAUGCUUGGUUGGGUCUAUUUACCAAUGAUGUUCUUCAGGCUUGUAAGCAUGCUUACAUCAUAAUUCUUAUACCAAUAAUGUUGUUGAUGCUUGUAUGCAUUCUUAGAGGGGCUAGGUAUGUAUGCCCAUGAUCAAUUUAGUCUUGUUCCAUGUUGAUCAUGAUUGUUUAUCAGCAUUGCGAUGAAAAAAAGCAUGUUCACUUUGGAUGUUGCUUCAAGCUGAAGCAUGCCGCCAUGACUAUGCUGCAAGAAUGUUGCAUAACUAACUAUGAUUCAGUUUUAGCCACAAACCUUGAGAAUUUAGUCCAUUGUUCGGUAAUUGGAAUGUUGGUGACUAUCCAAGGUGGUAGAGAUUGGAGUCAUGUUAGUCAUAUGUUUGAUCAACCUUGAAUUUUGAUGAUGCUUAUGACUAUUUCAGUUAUGCAAUGCUUAUGCUCUCUUUGUUAGUUAAUAUCUAUUGCUACCCAUUUUAAUCGCAUUAUGUAUUUAAAUGAACUAGUAUGAGGUUCAUGGAAAUUGUGCCAUGAAAGUCACUGGUUUAAAAGUAAGUUCCUACAAAGGGUUUGAAAGUAGAGAGAAGUCUGGUCAUUGGAGAGAGAAAGAUAAAACAUGUUGUGUAUUAAGUAGGCUUAAAGGUUAGGUUAUUCUCAUGCAAAUUGAAAUAAUUAUCAGAGUACUUUAUUUCUAAAUAUGAUAUAUGAUCGGUUCAUCACAUACAAAGAAAGUAGAGAAGGGGGUGCCAUGCUUGAAUGAUUGUCGAGUGCGUAACUUCACCACUUGUGUUGUAAGGUGAGCAUGUCAGUCCUUAUGCAGGCAACCAAACAACAAGGGUUUGGCUCGUUUGGCCUUUUCCCCGUGGUUUGUGCGGGAAGUCCAUGCAACCAAACCUACCCCGGCCCUAAGAAUGUAUGUUGGUUGUAUUAUUCAUUGACAAAAUUACUCGCCGAAUUCAGCGGUUGGGAGACAUUAGAUAAUAUCUAUUUGAUUCGCAUGAUCCCAAAGACAUAUCAAUAAGAUAAAUGUAGGGCUUCGUUGUCAUGUCCACUUGAAUCCCACAAGAUUGAAUUCCCACCAAGAUUUGUUUAAUUUCAUCGUGAAAAAAACACUCAUUCCAAUAGUUUAAGUAGACGGAAAUUUUCUUUCAAAUGCAAUGCAAAGGAACAUGGAGUAUAGUUCUACAAACCAAACAACGUACUUGAAAUGUUACUAAGAAUUUGAAUCCUCUAAAAUCUCUAAGAAAAAACAUUUUACCAAGUAGACAGGUGCUGGUCCUUUCAAUUUCAAGACAUCGAAUGAUGUAUUUCUCAUGGAUGAAUGAUUCUGCGAGAAAACGAACAUGUGACUAUAGAUGGAGCUAGGUAUCUCUAAUGCAUGGUCCUGGUCAAUACGUCUUUGUUAAGAAGGAAACAUGUAGAGAGGUAGGAAUUGUAAAUAGGAUAGACACAUGCAGUUCCGUCUGUUCAAGCGAGAGUUAGUGAAAUAAUGACAAGAAGCAAGAGUAAGUCAGGAUACUGCGUAAAAUGUCUCUUAUCUGAAGGCUACUUUGAGAUAAUAAAAUAUUCUUUUCUAAACACUUAAUUCCACUGAGAAUAAACAGUGAUGGUAAUAAGACUGUAAUGGUUAUGCAAUGAAAGCGAUGGUAAGGGUUAAAAACAAACAAGGCACAUUCCUGGCCGGUAAUCUAGUUGUUGAAGUCAACCGAUAUAAAAUGAAUUAAAAUGGUGUUUUCUUAUUAGGUCUUACUUGCAUUAAUUGAGCAGCUAAGAUCAACUCUAACGGGUGACUCAUUUCGUCCACCGUUGUUCGUUUGGAUCCGCGCAGACAAAAGUGAUGGCCCAACACGCGGAUCCAUUGCUAAAGCGUGUUCGCGCCGACCCGUUUCCGACCCAAAUUUGGGACUAAAAUGCGUCGGCGCGGACACGAAGCAGACGUGCGCGCCCUCUCGGCAUCCGCCCCAACUACCCGUGGUCAACAUAAUUAAUGACGACCGCCUUCCCCGGAUCCACGAGUCAGCGACACGCGGUUAGCCUUUUUUAAUCCGAGAUGCGGUGGGGUUCGGCCUCAUCUGCUUCCAGAUCCCCGUCACCAUCGCGCCACCUCUCUGCUCCCUCGUCGGCGACCAAACCCUAGCCAACAGCCAUGGCCGGCUCUGCCCAAAACAAGGGCAAGUCACCCGUCGACCCCGCGCGAUUUUCCCGCCGGCGUCUUCCCGCCGGCCUCGCGAGCGUGUCAGCGUCCCGGUGCACCAAGCGUGAUGGCACUGGGAGCAUCGCAUCCCGUAGUCGUACCCGGACGUGACCCUCCCGCACCACUGGCAUCUGGAUCCAGAGAGGAUCCCGGUGUCGGCCGUGUCGCGGUCGGUGCGAAUGCACGUGGAGGAGGUGAGUCACCGGCGAUGGCAGCUGACGCCGGAGCAGUGGCUCAACCCUGUGUACGCGGCCAACUCUCCUCACUGGGUGGUCUAUUUCGCGGUCGAGCACGAGGAGCGGCGUCGGCGCGGCGUGCGCGACAUGCAACCAGGAGGCCCUCUGCCUCCCCCGCCCGUCGUUAGCGACGAGGACCAGGAGGUGGAGGUCGCCUACCAGGCGACGCUGGCAGCCGCACUCCGCGAGAGCGAGGAGGAAGACCGACACAAGGCCAAGGAGGUGGACACGGCGUACGAGGCGUAGCUCGCGGAGGACAUCGCGCUGUCCGCCGUUGGCGACUGUGUUGUAGCGCCUCCGCCAAAGAACGAGAUGCGGUCGAAGGUCUACCAAUGGACUGGCUACCUCCGCGAGUAGGUCCAGCGCGUCGCCCAUCUGGUUGGGCGCGACACAGCAACAGGAGGCCGCCUACCUCCAGCACUAGAGGGCGCUACACGUGACGGAGGAGCACACCGACGGUCGUCGGCAAAUGGCGCUUGAGCGGGAGGCGGAGGAGGAGCGUGCCCGUGUUGCGCUGUCACCGCCACCAGCACAGCCCGCGUCGGCGGGAUAGACGACGAAGGCGCAGGCAGCGGCACUCUGAAACACGGCGUUCCCCUGGGUCGGCCCUGCGUGGACGCUGGUUGACCUUACCGUCCCCAACGUCGACGACGAGAACGCCUAGGGCAGCCUCGUAGUUUAGUUUUUUUUUAAUGUUUAAUUAAUGUAACGGGGACGCGUGGACUCUCACCGACCUUCGUGGUCGGCCUUAAUUUUAAAUUAAUAUUUGUUUUUUUAUUUCUGAAAAUGUUUGAAAAAAAAUCACAUGUCGUUAAAAUAGAUCGGACCAGCGUUGGACGCAUGCGCCGACACAAACACUAAAGCAGACGUAGAUGUUCGUCGGAUCAACCCAAAGGACAGAAACCAUACGAAAUCGCCGUUAGUUUGGGUCGACAUGUUCCUCUAACGUAUAUCCAGUUUCUUUGAACACGCAUCGAAGUACUCGUCAGUCCUUAUAUAAAGAAAGAGAGUGUUAAGAUGACGCAUACCACGCAUCGUUGCUUUGGAAGAAAGCAACAAUGACACCGUAAACGUCACAAAUAUACAUAAAUUAAUUCCAAAAACGCAAAGACACUCGUCAGGAACACUCGCCAUUCUUUCAAAAUACAAGUUCUCUCCGUAACUUGAAUGCUCGCAAGGAUAAAAUCAUCAAACGAAAAAGCUUUAUUUAGUCGUUGGAAAUUUCCAUUAGAAAGACGACUCGUUCUAGGAAGCCUGUGUACAGCAUUGUGACACACCACAAACAUUCUUUCAAAUACACCAAUUGGCCUAUAAAUAGCUGUGCACAAGUCGAGAUUAUGCAUCGCCCGGUGCUCAUUGAAAUAGGCUUCCACACCCGCUCUAUGCAUAUAACAACCACAUGAUACAAUAUAAGACCACUGCUGAAACAAACAACACAUCCACACCUAAAAGAAAGGAAGAGAAAACAAUGCCAACAUCGGCGAUUAGCGAAAACAACAAUGACCCGCAACCGCUGCAUCUCGUCCGAAAUAUUCCCACCACGAUCCAAACACUCUAAUCCAUCGUGUACCAAGCAGCACCUCCAAGAAUAAUGACGAUGAUGCCCGGACAGGUCCUAGGGUUUCCUCCGGUACGCUCCGGAGAGCAGGGAGGAGGUACAGCUGACACCCUUCAGGAAGGAAGGGUGACACUCUCAAGCAUCUCCAUGUCGGUGUCAAAAGACAAGGAUUUCUCCCGACCCCCAAACCACCAGCUCCCGGACAAUCAGAGACGCUCCACCAAGCAUGCCAUCCACCAACAUACACCACCACGGUCUUGCAGUCACCAUCGUCAUCUCAUCAUGGCCAACGUAGCAAGGCCAGUCAUACUGAGAUGAAUCUCCCGAAGAAAAGGUCCUACAGGAGAACAACCACACAAGAGGGGACCACCUCUACCGUCCAAGACGGUCGUUGUCCGGACACGACCACGAGAGCACACCGAACCAUUGAAACCGGAGGACGGCAGCAGCGCAUCCACCCGGAGGACGUCCUCCACCGCCAUCCAGGGUGCCGAUCGGACAUAGCAGCCGAGCCACCCAGGCCAGAUUGGCCCAGCCGAGCCACGGCCAAGCCCCGGGGCUCGUAUAGUCCACGCCGUCGUGCUUCUGCACGUAGUCCGCCGUCGCCGCUAACCUCAUGCAACCCAAAAGCUCUGUCGAGCAUGGACAAGCCCAUGAAACUCCCAUCGCCACGUUGCAGCGGUGCGGCGUCAACGAUGUCGUCCUCGCCGCGAGCCAUGCUGCAGGCCAACUGGAGGCAACGAGACAGGCCCAACCUGACCCAGAUCGGGCACUAGGGCCAAGAUGUGGGCCUGCAGGGCCGAAGCGCCACCAUCGCCACCCAACCACCAAUGGCAGCACCACCGCCACCAAGACAACCCACGCCGCACCAGGGGGAGCCCCACCGCUGCACCAGGCCACUGCGGCCGAGGAGCACCACCAGGCCCCGGGCUGCCCCGCACCAGGAGGGGAAGGGUCGGAGGCCCGCCGCCACCGAGUCCGCUCGACCAAGGGCCGGCACGACACACCGUUGACGACGGGAGGGAGUAGGGAAGGGGGCGAGGAGGCGUGAUGCGGGGGGCACGGCCCGGCCGCCGCGGAGGCGGCAUGGAUCAUCCGAUGCUCACCAUCCGAAUCAAGCCUUUCAUUCAAGCGUGCAGCAAAACUAAGCAUGUCUCGCAGUUGUGGAUGAAGCUACAGUUGCGAAUCGAACUGCAACUGCGGGUAUGCGUGGAUACUUCUGUUUUGUCUUGCAUACUAUUGGGAAACUAGGCCUAGCCUAGUCGCACGCGCGACGGUGGUGAGGCUGGCUAGCGUAGGAGGCACGCAGCCAGCCCCUAUCGCUUCCUAAUCUCACGUUAGAUGGGUACUUAUUCGUUGACUCCAUACCCCUAUAUAAGCACAGGAGAGGCAAUCAUUGUAACACAAAGAUGAUCAUUAAUAAAGAUUGAUUCUUCCCUACCUCUUGUGUCUUCUACUUUCUGUCAUUGUCUACGACGCUCGCUCCUGCUCCGCAACCUUGGACCGGACUCACCGGCAGGAGUUGCGGAACACGUUAUUAUCACGCUUCGCUCCACCAACUCUCCAUCGAGCCUGCACCAAGCAGGUUGUCGUCGAUCGCACAGGGGUAUAAGAUCCAAUCCCUCUCUUUGCAAAAAUGGAUUCCCCUUGUUAUCACGGUUCCGUUAUUGUGCCUAGUUUAUUUUUUGGACUUAAUCUACCUAUGGUGUGGAUUUCCCUCCCAAGAACUGGAUGGCGAAUACGCCGCCGACCAAUGUCGAUGUACUUGGAUCAAGAGGGAUUUAUUGAGUGCACUAUACGGGAGUCGGUACACAUCCUGACUCAGAUGGUCACGGUACCGCCACACCGCACCUGGUGCCAAGCGUCGUCAAGGUUCCAGAUGAACGUGACGAAGAAUCACCCCUGUUGUCCAUGACCGUGCUCGCCCGGCGCACCCAGCCACAGCUGGCCGCGACCAUGUUGGUCGCCCGCGUCCCGCACCGGCCGUGCUCGCCCACUGCACCUGCUGCGCUCACCCGUGGCUACUGCGCACGCGCAGGCCGGUGGCAUCGGCCGCCCCGCCACGGCCAUCAGCUGGCCGGCCACGCGUGCUCCGUAGCUCGCCACCGCCUAGCCGCUCGCCUGGCCGGCCGCGCAGCUCCGCCGCAGCAGCCGCCUGUCCGCGCGUCGCCUGGCCGACUACGUCGCGCCGCAGCUUGGUGCCUCCUGGCCGCGCCGCCGCCUGGCCUCGCUGCCUGCCUCCGCCGCUCGUCGAUCCGGGCCGUCGCUCGCGCCGUGCCUGCGCAGGUGGGGGCCUCGGCCUGCAGCCACCGUUGUGUUGGCCUCGGCCUCACCUCCACCCGGCCUCCCACUAUAGCCCCGCCCGGCCUGGCUGUGCCGAGCCGCUAGCCCUAGCCAGGCACGGCCGUCGCCGCCACGUGGGCGUUAGGAAAACCUAGCGACCCGGUGCGCUGGCUGGCUGGAAGGCCUCAUGGGCCACCGCAGGUGGGCCUUCGGGCCACUGUUUUUUCCUUUUGGGCCAUCUAUCCAUUGAAAAAAAAGAAAAAAUGUGGAUGGGCCGGCUCGCAGUACAAGAAUUGGGCCGGUUGCCUAGUUUUUCGUAAAAAAUCGUAUAUUCUGGCUUUAAAAGAGUUCGGGAAUUCGCUUUUUUGGGCUAUUUUCACGUAUUAGAUACGCGUAAUAUACUAUCUCAUACAACAUGAUUUUAUUAUACGUUUUUACUCUUGUAGAUUAAUUGUCUAGCACUUUUAAUCAUUAGGUAAAUCAUAUAGUAAAAAUGUAUUAUAUAAUCAAACAUUAUUUUUUAUUGAAUAAGUUUUUUUACAUCGCAUUUAUGUAAAAGAUUACAUGCUGUAAUCUCAUUAUUUUUGCAUAAAUUGCAGAUGGCCGGAAUCGUCAAUAGGGAGUUUCCUGAGUUGGCCCAGACACGGCUAAACUACUUGAGUUGGUCUUCGGACUGCGAGAUCUGGUUCGAGGGCAAGAACCUUCUGAGGGCGAUUGGUGUUGGAAAUAUGCCCUAGAGGCAAUAUUAAAGUAGUUAUUAAAGUAGUUAUAAUUGUAUUAACCAAAAACCGUAAUACAUGUGUGAAUAUAUAGAUCACAAUGUGUCCCUAGUGAGCCUCUAGUUCGCUAGCUCAUUGAUCAUGGUUUCUUGAUCAUGGACAUUGGAUGUCAUUGAUAACGGGAUCACAUCAUUGGGGAAUGAUGUGAUGGACAAGACCCAAUCCUAAGCAUAACACUAGAUCGUGUUGUUCAUGUGCUAAAGCUUUUCUAAUGUCAAGUAUCAUUUCCUUAGACCAUGAGAUUUUACAACUCCCGGAUAUCGUAGGAGUGCUUUGGGUCUACCAAACGUCACAACGUAACUGGGUGGUUAUAAAAGUGCACUACAGGUAUCUCCGAAAGUGUCUGUUGGGUUAUACGAAUCGAGACCGGGAUUUGUCACUCUGUGUGACGAAGAGGUAUCUUUGGACCCACUCGGUAAUCCAUCAUCAUACUGAGCUCAUUGUGACUAAGGAGUUAGCCACGGGAUGAUGUGUUACGGAACGAGUAAAGAGACUUGCCGGAAACAAGAUUGAACCACGUAUAGAGAUGCCGACGAUUGAAUCUCGGGGAAGUAUCAUACUCAUAGACAAAGGGAAUUGCAUACUGGAUUGAUUGAAUCCUUAACAUCGUGGUUCAUCCGAUGAGAUCAUCGUGGAACAUGUGGGAACCAACAUGGAUAUCCAGACCCCACUACUGGUUAUUGGCCGGAGAGAUGUCUCGGUAAUGUCUGCAUGUCUCCUGAACCCGUAGGGUCUACACACUUAAGGUUCAAUGACGCUAGAGUGGUAAAGGGAAUGGUAUGUGGUUACCGAAUGUUGUUAGGAGUCCCGGAUGAGAUCCCGGAUGUCACGAGGAGCUCCGGAAUGGUCCAGAGGUAAAUAUUGAUAUAUAUAUAUAGGAAGUCCUGUUUUGGUCAUCGGGAAAGUUUUGGGCCCAUCGGUAGUGUACGAGGAGUGCCGGGAGGGUGUCGGAGGACUCCCAAGAGGGGUGUGACGACCAAAGAGGUGCAUCGGCUGUUAGAGGAGGUGUACUAGUCCUUAUUGGGCUUUCCAAGGCCAUCCCUAAAGUCCUAUGCGCAUAGGGAUAAAAGAGAUAAGGCAAGGAAGAUUAAAAGGAAAGGAGGAAGAGUCCUACCAAGGUAGUCCACCUCCCUUGUGGGAGGUGGACACCUCCCUAGCUUCGACCGAAGCUCCUCCUUGGAGGAGGGGCCAAGGCAGCCUCCCUCUCCCUCCUCCUAUACAUAGUGGAUGGUUUUGGCCUUUUGGAGACACACAAUCAUCUCCCACGGCGCAGCCCUACCUCUCUCUUCUUCAUUCUCCGCAACGCUUGGCGAAGCCCUAUCGGAGAACCACAUAGCUCCAUCGCCAGCAUGCCGUCGUGCUGCCAGAGCUCUCCCUUGACUUCUCCUCUCUCCUUGCUGGAUCAAGAAGGAGGAGACGUCACCGGGCUGUACGUGUGUUGAACGCAGAGGUGCCGUGAUUCGGCACAUAGAUCGGAAUCCACCGCGAUCUGAAUCGCUGCGAGUAUGACUCCAUCAAUCGUGUUCAUAGUAACGCUUCCGCUUAGCGAUCUUCAAAGGUAUGAAGAUGCUCUACAACCUCUCUCGUUUUUGGUUUUCUUCAUAGAUAGAUCCUUGUAUGGCGUAGGAAUUUUUCAAAAUUAUCACGAUCCCUAAUAGUGGCAUCCGAGCCAAGGUUCUAUGUGUAGAUUCUAUGCAUGAGUAGAACACAAAAGUUAUGGGCGCUGAUUUGUCAACUUGCUUGCCGUUACUAGUCUUAUCUUUUUUCGGCGGUGUUGUGGGAUGAAGCAGCCCGGACCGACCUUACAUGUAUGCUUACGUGAGACUGGUUCCACUGAGAGACAUGCACUUGGUGCAUAAGGUGGCUAGCGGGUGUCUGUCUCUCCCACUUUAGUCGAAUUGCAUUCGAUGAAAAGGGUCCUUAUGAAGGGUAAAUAGCAUUGGCAUAUCAACGUUGUGGCUGUCACGUAGGUAAGAAGCAUUCUUGCUAGAAACCCAAACCAACCAUGUAAAACUUGCAACAACAAUUAGAGGACGUCUAACUUGUUUUUGCAGGGUAUGUCAUGUGAUGUGAUAUGGCCAAAAGGAUGUGAUGUAUGAGAUUGAUCAUGUUUUUGUAAUAGGAUUCAUGACUUGCAUGUCGAUGAGUGACAACCGGCAGGAGCCAUAGGAGUUGUCAUAAUUUAUUGUAUGAGAUGCAACGCCAUGUUGAUUACUUUUACUUUAUCGCUAACGGUUAGCUAUAGUAGUGGAAGUAAUAGUUGGCAUGAUGACUUCACAGAGACACAAUGAUGGAGAUCAUGGUGUCAUGCGAGUGACGAUGAUGAUCAUGGUGCCCCGAAGAUGGAGAUCAAAGGAGCAAGAUGAUAUUGGCCAUAUCAUGUCACUAUAUGAUUGCAUGUGAUGUUUAUCAUGUUUUUCAUCUUAUUCCUUAGAAUGACGGUAGCAAAGAUAAUAUGAUCCCUUAUUAAAAUUUUGAGAUAAGUACUCCCCUAAGUAUGCACCGUUGCGAAUGUUCGUUGUCUCGAAGCACCGCGUGAUGAUCAGGUUUGAUAGAUUCUAACGUUCGCAUACAAUGGGUGUAAGCCAGUUUACACACGCAAAACAGUUAGGUUGACUCGACGAGCCUAGCAUGUACAGACAUGGCGUCGAAUACGGGAGACCAAAAGGUCGAACAUGAGUCGUAUGGUUGAUACGAUCAGAUGGAGAAGCUCACCAUUGAUGACUAGUCUGUCUCACAUGAUUGGACGCGGGCUAGUCGACAUGGAUCUUGUAACACUUGGAUGACUAGAGGGAUGUCGAUCUAAGUGGGAGGUCAUUAGUAAUUUGAUUAGAUGAACUUAAUUAUCAUGAACUUAGUCUAAAAUUGUCUUUACAAAUAUCGUAGAUCCAAUGGCCAACGCAAAUGUCACAUUAAACUUCAACCCGUUCCUAGAGAAAACCAAGCUGAAAGACGAUGGUAGCAAUUAUGCGGAUUGGGCUCGUAACUUGAAGCUCAUCCACAUGGCUUCCAAGAAGGCAUAUGUCCUUGAUGCACUUCUAGGUGAUCCUCCCGUUCCCGCGGCAGACCAGGACGCUAGAAAUGCGUGGCAGUCACGGAGUGAUGACUACUCUCUCGUUUAGUGCGGCAUGCUUUACAGUUUAGAACUGGGGAUCCAAAGGUGUUUUGAGAAACACGAAUCAUAUGAUAUGUCCGAGGAGCUGAAACUUGUUUUUCAAGAUCAUGCCCGGGUCGAGAGAUAUGAAGUCUCCGACAAGUUCUUUAGCUGUAAGAUGGAGGAUAAUAGUUUUGGCAGUGAGCACAUACUCAGAAUGUUUGGGUUGCACAACCGCUUGACUCGGCUCGGAGUUGAACUUCCGGAUGAUGCGGUCACUGAAAGAAUCCUCUAGUCGCACACACUAUUAUGUUGAAUUUUUAGAUGCAGGAAAGUAUGGAUUGCUUGCAGAUCUUCACACACUGUUCUGUUUUUGACACAUGCUGAUUUUCAUGCAUAGUUUGCUUGUUCUAGUGUUUCCAUAGCUUAUAUUGAGUGAUAUAAAUUAUGGAAAUGAUAUAAUACUUUUGGCAUCAUGUGAUAACAAUAAUGAAUCUUUUCUUUGCAUUACCUAAGUGAAUGAUCUAUAUUUAUCAUACUAACCCAUCUCACAAAGUUCCGUUAAGUUUUUUGUGAUUGAAGUUUUCAAGAUUUGGGCGAGAUACCGAUAUGAGAAGAAUAAGGAGCGUAAAUAUACUAAUAUUGGGGAUUCCCAAGGCACCCCCAAGGUAAUAUCCAUGGAAGAAUCAAGUGUCUAAGCUUGGGGAUGCCCCGGAAGGCAUCCCCUCUUUCGCCUUCAACACUAUCGGUAUAUCUUACUUGGAGCUAUAUUUUAAUUCAUCACAUGAUAUUUGUUUUCCUUGGAGAAUCAUUUUCUUCUUUUAAACUUUGAUUGUUGUUAUUUAUAAUGUUGUUUUUCAAUAAAAAGUUUCAAGAAUUGCCAUUAGAAUGCUUGAAUUUCAUGUGUGAUGUGUGAUGUACAAAAACAGAAACAUUGGUGUAGUAUUUGAAUUAUGAUAUUUUACUGGAGCAUGGAAAGUUUGUGAAUUUUGAAAAGGACCUUCAUACAAAUUGUUUAGCCUGACCUAAAGUUUCAUAAUUUUUGGAGUUACAUAAGUACACUUCUGAAACGAAUUGCAACAGAUUGUUCUAUUUGGACAGAUUGUUGUAAUAGUUUUUUAUCUACUUAUCCUAGAGUUUUCAUGGCUUAUAUUGGUGGAUAUAAAUUUUAUAAAUGAGAUUAUAUAUUACAUAAUGUUUGAAAAUUAUUAUUCAACUUGUCUUGGCAGUACAUGAAGUGUUGAUUUAUUGUUAUGUGUACUAACCAAGCUCCGGAGUUCUUUUCAAGUUUCGUGUGGAUGAUUUUUUUAGACUUAGGUGAAACCGAGAUAUGAGAAGAUUGAACGGGAUACAUAAGUUCAAUAUUGGGGAUGCCCAAGGCACCCCAAGUAAGUAUCACAAGAAUUCUCAAGCAUCUAAGCUUGGGGAUGCUACGCAUCCCGCCUCUCUUUGUCAACAAAUAUGGGUUAGCUUAUGUUGAUCCUAGGUUUUUAUUUAUUAAAAUGAUAUGUGCUAUCCUUAGAAUGUAUUAUUGUUUUAUUUCUAUUUGAAAUCAAUCUUAGAUAUGAAAAUCUCUAUUGAGAGAGAGUACUCACAUAGAUACUUUAUUGUUUGACUACUUAUUGUUCUUCACUUAUAUCUUUUGAGACUAGUUUGAAGUUUACUCAUGUGCUUCACUUAUAUCCUAAGAGUAAAUUGUGAAUGAAUGAAAUAUCAUUAAUUUUAAAUUAUCAGUGUGCUUUAUGGUUUGUAGUAGUUUCACAUUUGGUUUAGAAAGUGAAAUCUAUUGAAGUUUGAAAAUCAUAAUAUUGGUCAUACAAGAAUGAUUAGUAUACGAAAGAGAACUUUCACUUACAAAUAUAUUAUCUUAGACAUCUUUUAUAAUUGUGAAUACCCAUUAAUUAUUUUCAACCUUGAUCAAAUUGUUUAAGUUGGAGCGGCUAGUAUCUUCCAUGCUAAGUAGGUUAUUCUCAUGAUGAAUGUUCAUUCACUUUUCGUUGCACAAGAGAGGUUCGUAAAAAGGAUGUCUAGUCCUUAAUAAUAUGAAAAUAAAUAAACAAGAAUUCCCCCUAGAAAAUUGAUUGUUUGGAGUGCACCCGUGGAUAUGGUUAGCAAUGGAAUGUGUUUGAAUGGUUGAGGGGGAGUAAAAUUUCAAUUUUGUUUGGGAACCGCCAAUAAUGUGAUUAGCAUGGAAGAUACUGAAAUCCCUUGUCAUAACGUUGAUACAAAAGGCACACCACCCAAAAUAUAUUCAUCGUUGUUUUAAACAAUGAGCUCUCGCACCUCUGCAAAUCCGUGAUUCCCUUUGUGAAGGGGCAUUUAUUUACUUUUAUGUUAUUUACUUUCAUUUUAUUUAGUUUUCAUGUUAAGUCAACUUCUUAUUCCCGCCUUAAUCUAUUAUUUGACAACACCAUAUGGUGGGGAAAGAUCCAGGAAUAUAUAUCCACUCAAAUAUAUUUGAUCAUGAUUCAUUAUUGUUGACAAGUAUCUUUAUGAUAAUUGUGUUGGGAGGCGAAACAUUAAGCCACUAUCUUUCUAUGUGUUCGGUGGAUGUUGUUUGUUACAAAAAUAUGCAUUGAGUACUAGCAAUCAUAGAAGACUAUAUGAUAAUUGAGUAUGUGGAGCUCUUACUUAGACUUUGCUGAAAAUAAGAUGCAUUGGAAUUGUUUGAUGACUAAGAACAUAGGUUGUUAAGUUUCAAGAGGAUGUAUUGUUUGAACCAUGACAACUGAAUUGAUUUCUACGCUAUCUUGAUGAGUUUUAUGAGAAAUAGUUUCUGGUUAUGAUGCUAGAAAAGUGUUUGAAAUUAUCAUUGAUCAAAAUUAUACACUAUGCUAGCAUUCACACUUCAUAAAUUACUUAUUUUAUCAAUUACCUACUCGAGACGGGUAGGAAUUAAGCUUGGGGAUGCUGAUACAUAUCCAACGCAUUGAUAAUUUAUGAAGUAUUCAUGCCAUAUUUACCUAUUUUUAUAAUACUCUUAUAUGGUUUUUAUGCACUUUAUAUUAUUUAGUAGGAACUAACCCGGACUGGUGAUGUUUUCAGCAGAAUUAUCGUGGUGUUGUUUUUGUGCAGAAAAUAAAAGUUCUUGGAAUCACCCAAAACAUUUUGACAAUUUUUUCUGGAACAAAUAAGAAGUACUAGAGCGAAGAACAACCAGAGGAGGGCCACAUAUGGCUUCCGUGCCAAUAGGACGCAUCCACCCCCUCGGCACGCCCUGAUGGCUUGGGACCACCUCAUGGCUCCAUUGCAUGUGAUUCCAACGCUGAAAAAUCCUAUAAAUCGCAAAAAGACCAGAAGAUAACCUGGAACUUCCGCUUCGCCGUCGCAAGCCUCUAUAUCAACGAAAACUCAUUAAAAGCACUUUCCGGCACCCAAUCGGAGGAGGAAAUCUUCAUCGGAGGCCAUCUUCAUCAUCCCGGAGGUCUCCAUGUCGAAGAGGGAGUAGUUCACCCUCGGGGCUGAGGGUAUGUACCAGUAGCUAUGUGGUCUCUCUCUCUCUCUCUCNNNNNNNNUCUCUCUCUCUCUCUCUCGUUUUCUUAACAUGUCAUGAUCUUGAUGUAUCAUGGGCUUUGUUAAUAUAGUUAGAUCAUAUGGUGUUUGUCCCUUUCUAUCUUGUUGUGAUGAAUUAAACCUUUCCCUUGAGAUUUUAUUAUGUCGGAUUGAAUACUGGAUUUGAGAUCACUUGAUGUAUGUAUUUCAUGUGGAUACCCGUGAUGACAAAGGGGUGUUCUAUUGAUUCACUUGAUAUAUGGUUUGGUACUCAACUUGCGGAUUCCCGUGGUGAUAAUGGGGUAAUUAUACAUACGGGUUGAUAGACGUUCUCGUCCUACUUUCUCCGAUAGAAAUCUUGGAGUACUCUUUGAAGUUCUUUGUGUUGAAUUGAAUAUGAUGAAUCUGAAAUUUUUUAUUGCAUGUCGAAUAAUUAACCCACGAAUGCUUGAGGUGAUAUUAGAGUAUCUAGGUGACAUUAGGGUUGAUUGAUGUGUAUCAUAGGUGUUAUUCUAGUACGAACUCUAGGGUUGUUUGUGACACUUAUACUAAUAGAUCAAUGGAUUGAUCGGAAAGAAUAGCUUUGAGGUGGUUCUACUACCUACAAUAAUUCUAUCUCAUGUUCUCCGGUAGAAUGAACUUUGGAUUGAUUCUUUGUCGCAUGUUGAGGGAUGAUCAUAUGAUUCUAUUAUGUUAGGAUUGUUGAGAGAUUGCACUAGUGAAAGUAUGAACCCUAGGCCUUAUUCCUAAGCAUUUAUAUAAAGUUUUGCUCGUUGUUUACUACUUGUUACCUUGCUAUUUUUAUAUUUUCAUAUUACAAAAACCUAUAUAUAUUAUCCAUACUACACUUGUAUCACCAUCUCUUCGCCAAACUAGUGCACCUAUACAAUUUUCCACUGUAUUGGGUGUGUUGGGGACACAAGAGAUUUCUUGUAUUUGAUUGUAGGGUUGUUUGAGAGAGACCACCUUCAUCCUACACCUCCCAUGGAUUGAUAAACCUUAGGUCAUCCACUUGAGGUAAAAUUGCUACUGUCCUACGAAACUCUACGCUUGGAGGCCUAACAGAGUCUAUAAGAAAAAAGUUGUGUGCUAGACAUCAACUCCUCGUUGGGUUCGACACUCUUACUUAUCAAAAAAGGCUGCAAACGAUCCCCUACACUUGUGGGUAAUUAGGAAGUAUUUUAGAUUAUCAGGAAUUUUUGGUGGGUGAUUAGGAUGAUAGAAGAAAAAUAGGUUAGCUUGGGACAAAUUGACGAGGCCUAAAGGUAUGUGCAUUAUUAAUUUUCGUGUUCUCACGUUAUUAAACCAAGCUCCUUUGGCUAAACUGGUGUGUUGCUUCUUGUUUUAUCCAGACUCACUAUGUGCCAAGUUGAUGGAAGCAAAGUAUUAUCCCCAAGGACAUGCUCUCGGCAUUGUUUUUCCUCAUUUUGCAUUAGUGACUUGGCAAGGUAUUAUGCAUAUUAUGGAUCUUCUUAAGAUGGGUGUCUUCUUAAGAUGGGUGUCAUUUGAGGGGUGGGAGGGGUGAUGGAUCUAGUAUUAACAUCUGGAGGGAUAAUUGUCUCAUCGGAAGUUCGAGAAAGAAACUUUCAACUAACAGGUAUAAUACUUGAUUAAGAACCUAUUCUGUCCACAGGAUGUAGAGGAAAUUCUAGAAAUUUAAAUUCAAUUGUUCAAGGAUGGAUAUUUGAUUUCACGAUACUAUGAGAAUAAUGGUAAAUUUUUCGCUAAAAGUGGGUACAAUUUUGCGCUUAAUUUUAAGAAUAGAAAGGACGUUCGGGGGCAAUCUAGGCAUCAAUGGGUUUCAUUAGUUUUUUCUCCACUCGUCAUUUUGGAUUGGGAAGUUUGACAUAGAUUGGUGAUAUGAUUAUUCUCGGCAUCUCAUUUCUAUUGAGCGCACUCUAGUUCAUUUAGAGGCGCAACACAUAGGCUACUCAAGAUGAUGAGUAUUUUAGGAAUGUUUAGAUUUAUAACUAUGUAUUUUGUCUAGUUUGUUAAGUGGCAUGAUGGAUAGACUACUCCUUGUAAUGUGGUAGCAGUAUCUAUCUUUCAUAUAUGUAUUGGAUGUCUAAAUGUAUAUGUGCAUUGUUUUAUGGAAAGCAAUUCACUUGUGCAAAUGAAUGAUGUAUGCAUGUGCAUUUUGUUUUUGUGUGUUUUCUCUAUUUCAUUUCCUGGUAUAUUGCUAGUAGAAACAUAAAAAAGCCAAGCCAUAAAAUGGGGCAAUUUUGCUUCUCACGAACAAUUAUGACUGGCCAGUCGGUAGUCUAUGAUGAAGUGCUAUCACUGGUCGUCCAAGUGGCUCGUUUGUGGUAAAAAAUUCAUCACUGGCCGGAAGAAACUUAUGGGCCAAAAGUGCGUUAGUGAUGAUAUAAAUUGGAGGAACACUACUAUUCAAUUAUGUAGUAGUGUUUGUCUUCAUAUUCUCCUUAAACCCUGAAAAAUAUUUAUCGAGGAUUUUUUGUAUGCCGCCUCCACCUCCUAUUCUGCUAUAAUCUAGUCUGGAUUCCUUUUUGGUACUCUGACACACGGGGAAUUCAUCAUCAUUACCAUCUUCAUCAUCUUGUUGCCACAAUGUCCAUGUGUGAGUAGUCCUUCAUGGACUAUCGGUUUGUAAUAGUAUCUAGAUGAUGUCCUCUCCCUCCUUGUUUGCAAUGCAAUGAUCACAUGAGUUGCUUAACAUGAUUGUGGUUAUCUGAUGUAAUUAAUAGUGUGUUUGUUGUAAUCAUGAAUUGACACCUUAUGAUCAAGUUUAUAUAUGAUUUAUUUUCGAUUCAUGUGAGUCCUUUGUUGCAUGAUUUCUCAUACAUAUAUGAUAUCCGAUCUAUUACUCGUUGCAUUGGCCAUUUUUAGAUUAAUGCUCUCCAAGAAAGAGUUGUGUAUGUUAGAGCAUCUACAAUAACUCUCUAUCUCUAGAAAUAAUCGCCAAUUACGGAAAGUUGUCAAGGAAAAAACCUAUCCAGUAUCAUCUUUCCAUAAAGUUACGGGAACUUUACACGAACUAUUGAAGAAGGUUUUUUGCCCCUCACAUCCCAUAACAUCGCCGGAACGACGGCGCGUGCCGACGGCCAUGCAUAACUCACAACAUGUGUGUCACUAUCGGGCGAGUCCUAGUGAGUUAUUAUUUUUUGUUUAACUAAAAAUAAAAUAAAAAUGGAUUUUGGGAAAAAAGUUGCGGGAAAUAACAACAUAAGAAUAGAAUAAUAAUGAUGGUAAGCAUAAAGAAGGCUCAUUUCUUGCAGGAGGGCAGUGGCUAAAGUUAGUAAAUGUAAAAUGAAUUAUAGUGUUACUCCUCUGGUUCAGUUUACAAGUCGGGCACGGAUUUCCACGUCUUCAAUCCAACUAGGGAAGCAUGCACUAUUUUUUAUUAAACAAUACUCCCUCCAUUCCACAAUGUUGUGGGACCAUGUUUUUUAAGAUUUAAGUUUGCUCAUAAAUUUAACCGGCAUGAAUGACUGCGGCGGAGGUAAAAAUUAUAUCAUUGAAUUCCUAUUCAAAAUAAGUUUUCAAUGGUAUAUUUGUUUCUCCCAUCGGAGUCGACCAUGUUGGUUAAAUUUAUGGUCAAACUUAAAUCUCGAAAAGCGCGGGCGCGGUGUAUUAUGAAAUGGAGGGAGUAUAUCUUUACAUUCAUUGUCAAAUGCAGUUUCUAAUAAUAUAAUUUUUGUGACAUAUUAUCCAUAAUUAAUUAGUCAACUCAAAGUCCUAAAUAUAGUGCCCGACUAAUAUACCGCUCGGAGGGAGUACAGUUUUAUUAGGUAUUUAUAUCAUAUGUUCAUGAAUUAAUUAAGAGAUAAUUGAGUUUAUGCCCCUAGUUAGGUCACACUCAACAGGUUUAACCCUAGUUUCCAAAAACACUCGUUGUUGCCCAAAUCAUUUCGCUUAUCUUAUGGUUUUGCCCUUUGACCGUUUGACCGUCACUUUGAAAACUUCAUAAAAGAAUUAUACUAACUCAGAAAAAAUAAGUUAAGAUAUCAAAAUGUUCAGAAAAAGUUGGAAAGUCCAGAUAUGAGUUUGAGAUCUAAACUUGUUUUGUUUUGCCAUUUGCAUUCUUGACAAAAAGUUGGAAAGUCCACAUAUGAGUUUGAGAUCUUAUGAUCUCAACAUGAAUAGAAAAUGUCAAAAAAAAGAUUAAAAAACAUAAAAUUUUUUGGGGCAAAGUUGGACCAAUGUUUUACGUGAUUGCCAAGUUUCAUGAGGGAAUGACAUAUUUUCGGGACCCCGAUCCUAAGCCAUAGGAAUCCAGCCUGUAACACAUUGCAUCCCUUUGCGGUCUCUCGCACGGUUAUCCUCGCGGCUGCCACCUUACCUUGGCCGGGAGCGUUUGCACCUUUUGACUCACGUAUGCAUUAGUGUCGCUAGCAUUCCAAUGUCAAAGAACCCGAGUCGACAUAUCUAGUCAUAAACUCAAGUGGCUCGACUGCAUAGAGAUAGGCAUACAUAACCCAACAAAGCAGGUGUCGGUCAUCAAAGACUGUAGACGAGUCGUAGCAAGCUACAAGGACUCCAUUACACCACGUGACAUUUCCCCGUAGGGACAGACACAACAACUAAGAAGGAUACAUGUCGGUCAACCAAUGUGUCCGGAGUAGUAGCGAACUACCAAGGCUCGAUGGAAUCACAAAGGGGCAUUUCUCUGUAUAGGGAGCUACUAAGGCAUACGACUAGGUGUCGAAUCCCAUACAUAUCACAGUGCAUCACACGUACGCAUGGCAUACUAGAUAUGCAUAGAUACAACAAUGGCAUCACAACAUAACCAUACAACAUUACGACAUUUAUUAAGAAGACUUGGAAGAGUCUUGCAUAAUAUGUUCAUACAGGCAGGGGUCACACGACCCGACACUCAAAGACAUACAAACAGAGUCAUACAAACCAACAAAAUCAUAAAAGCUGUUUGAGUACACACAGUUGAAAGGAUAAGGCAUAAAGCCUCACUAUCUACAGAUCCCUUCUGAAAGGGGCCAGGUCGUAGUUGGGAAACCAGCUACUCGUCAUCAUCGAUGUCUAGAAAGAACCCACCUGUUGGCUCGUGUGUAUCCUCUACAACAAUUAUUAAGCAAACAUGAGUACAAGAGUACUCAGCANNNNNNNNNNNNNNNNNNNNNNNNNNNNNNNNNNNNNNNNNNNNNNNNNNNNNNNNNNNNNNNNNNNNNNNNNNNNNNNNNNNNNNNNNNNNNNNNNNNNNNNNNNNNNNNNNNNNNNNNNNNNNNNNNNNNNNNNNNNNNNNNNNNNNNNNNNNNNNNNNNNNNNNNNNNNNNNNNNNNNNNNNNNNNNNNNNNNNNNNNNNNNNNNNNNNNNNNNNNNNNNNNNNNNNNNNNNNNNNNNNNNNNNNNNNNNNNNNNNNNNNNNNNNNNNNNNNNNNNNNNNNNNNNNNNNNNNNNNNNNNNNNNNNNNNNNNNNNNNNNNNNNNNNNNNNNNNNNNNNNNNNNNNNNNNNNNNNNNNNNNNNNNNNNNNNNNNNNNNNNNNNNNNNNNNNNNNNNNNNNNNNNNNNNNNNNNNUCUCCAAGUAGUCCAUAUUCGCGGACGCGGCUAUUCGAAUAGAUCAUAACCUUGCAGGGGUGUACUUCUUCACACACGCUCUUGCCACUUAUCACUAUGUUUACAUCAUGCACCUCGACAACCUUCAAGCGGAAGCCCAGCGAGGGAGUCAGCCACGACCGUUAACCACGCUAAUACCUAGUCUAGGUUUAUUGCCUAUUUGAGAGUGAACCCGCACGGAAGU